AGAGUUUGAUCAUGGCUCAGGAUGAACGCUAGCGGCAGGCCUAACACAUGCAAGUCGAGGGGUAGUAGGUGCUUGCACUUAUGAGACCGGCGCACGGGUGCGUAACGCGUAUGCAAUCUACCUUUUACUGAGGGAUAGCCCAGAGAAAUUUGGAUUAAUACCUCAUAGUAUUAUUGAGUGGCAUCAUUUGAUAAUUAAAGUUCCAACGGUAAAAGAUGAGCAUGCGUCCCAUUAGUUAGUUGGUAAGGUAACGGCUUACCAAGACUAUGAUGGGUAGGGGUCCUGAGAGGGAGAUCCCCCACACUGGUACUGAGACACGGACCAGACUCCUACGGGAGGCAGCAGUGAGGAAUAUUGGACAAUGGGCGCAAGCCUGAUCCAGCCAUGCCGCGUGCAGGAAGACGGUCCUAUGGAUUGUAAACUGCUUUUAUACAGGAAGAAACACUCCCUCGUGAGGGAGCUUGACGGUACUGUAGGAAUAAGGAUCGGCUAACUCCGUGCCAGCAGCCGCGGUAAUACGGAGGAUCCAAGCGUUAUCCGGAAUCAUUGGGUUUAAAGGGUCCGUAGGCGGCCUUAUAAGUCAGUGGUGAAAUCUCCUAGCUCAACUAGGAAACUGCCAUUGAAACUGUAGGGCUUGAAUUAUUAGGAAGUAACUAGAAUAUGUAGUGUAGCGGUGAAAUGCUUAGAUAUUACAUGGAAUACCAAUUGCGAAGGCAGGUUACUACUAAUGGAUUGACGCUGAUGGACGAAAGCGUGGGUAGCGAACAGGAUUAGAUACCCUGGUAGUCCACGCCGUAAACGAUGGAUACUAGCUGUUCGGAGCAAUCUGAGUGGCUAAGCGAAAGUGAUAAGUUCCCCCCUGG
This 863-nucleotide ribosomal RNA is filed under the name uncultured bacterium. RNAcentral's name for it is "bacterial SSU rRNA". It matches the Rfam family "Bacterial small subunit ribosomal RNA", at positions 9 to 873 of the family's 1533-position model. The record is from RNAcentral.